This 1139-nucleotide long non-coding RNA is filed under the name Sinocyclocheilus grahami. Its description in RNAcentral is "lncRNA (ENSSGRG00000012575.1)". The record is from RNAcentral. Lineage: Eukaryota; Metazoa; Chordata; Actinopteri; Cypriniformes; Cyprinidae.
CGGAUGUCCAGCGCGUCCGGACCUGCAGACGCGCGAUAAUUAACGGUCUCCUGUGAGGGUGGAGAGAGGGCGGUCUGUGCUCAACCUCACAUGAAGAGCGUAACUAUAAAUAUAAUAGCGUCACUGACAGCCUUACAAAGUGGUUGCAUUAUUCGUGCACAUGGCUCAAACCGAGAUGUUGGAGUUUGGUGUGGAGCAGGGACAGAUGCUGCAGGUCUUGAUGCGGCACUGUCAGAGCAUGAAGCGUCAGGAGACACGACUGCGCGUGGCCACUGCGGUGCUGCUUGCAACGUUCUUCGCGACUUUGGUGUGGCUACAAUUUCACCAUCAAAAUACUACGGAGGCAUUCUCAGUUGCCCAUCAAGAGGCUUCGAAAACUGAAGAAUCACCACUAGGACACUCUGUUCAUCUUGAACCUGCAAGACAGAUUGAUGCUUGUUCAGAACAACAGUCCAUCGAGUGGGUGGAUGUGGAUGAUGGCUAUGACGCGCAAAAUUUCAAGCUGGAAAACCAAACAGUCCUGCACAUCUUCACAAAGGGCCUCUACUUGAUCAAUCUGAGGCUGUCUUACCGUAUAGCCUAUGGUCAGUGUAAGCCUAGUACAGAUCAUUUGACUUUAGUGGUCAUUGUCACACAGCAGCAUAGCAACUAUGAAAGAGAGAGAGAGAUUAUAAGUGCUAAAGAGUCUAUGAUUUGUAGAGAUUAUUGGCUGCAGUCAAUCACUUUGAAUCGAGCGAUCAUGUUAGAAGCUGGCACUAGCCUCAGGGUGAGAAUUAACCAGGAAAGCUGCAAGUUUGUAAACUGGGUUAAAAACAGUCAUUUGGAUGUCUCAUUUUUUAACAUGAGUUUUACUACCUGAAGGCAUUACUGCGCAUUUGAGAUUUGUUAGAAACGGCAUUAAGCAGGUGUGUUUAAUUGUUUAAUGACCUAUUAUUUAGGUGCUUAAUGAUACGAGAAUGUUUAGUUGGUUAAUAUUUUCAGGUUUAUUGAAAGGUUUAAUCUCAUUCAUUAUGCUGAAAUUGUUAUUAAAUAACAUGGCUACACGUGUACGAUCCACAAAAGAAGCAGAUUUUGAAUAUAGUUAAUAAUCAAGUGUUGUUGUGACAGCCAACAGCAAAAUGUUGGUAGCAUGAGAAAUC